This 826-nucleotide ribosomal RNA is filed under the name uncultured bacterium. Its description in RNAcentral is "bacterial SSU rRNA". It matches the Rfam family "Bacterial small subunit ribosomal RNA", at positions 60 to 894 of the family's 1533-position model. The record is from RNAcentral.
AGUCGAACGAACUUAACCAUUAGUUUACUAGUGGAGCGGUUAGUGGCGGACUGGUGAGUAACACGUAAGCAACCUGCCUAUCAGAGGGGAACAACAGUUAGAAAUGACUGCUAAUACCGCAUAUGCCUUGAGUAUCACAUGGUACAAAAGGGAAAGGAGCAAUCCGCUGAUAGAUGGGCUUGCGUCUGAUUAGAUAGUUGGUGAGGUAACGGCCCACCAAGUCGACGAUCAGUAGCCGGACUGAGAGGUUGAACGGCCACAUUGGGACUGAGAUACGGCCCAGACUCCUACGGGAGGCAGCAGUCGGGAAUAUUGCGCAAUGGAGGAAACUCUGACGCAGUGACGCCGCGUGCAGGAAGAAGGUUUUCGGAUUGUAAACUGCUUUAGACAGGGAAGAAACAAGACAGUACCUGUAGAAUAAGCUCCGGCUAACUACGUGCCAGCAGCCGCGGUAAUACGUAGGGAGCAAGCGUUAUCCGGAUUUAUUGGGUGUAAAGGGUGCGUAGACGGGAAAUUAAGUUAGUUGUGAAAUCCCUCGGCUUAACUGAGGAACUGCAACUAAAACUGAUUUUCUUGAGUGCUGGAGAGGAAAGUGGAAUUCCUAGUGUAGCGGUGAAAUGCGUAGAUAUUAGGAGGAACACCAGUGGCGAAGGCGACUUUCUGGACAGUAACUGACGUUGAGGCACGAAAGUGUGGGGAGCAAACAGGAUUAGAUACCCUGGUAGUCCACACCGUAAACGAUGGAUACUAGGUGUAGGGUGUGAUAAACAUUCUGUGCCGUCGCAAACGCAGUAAGUAUCCCACCUGGGGAGUACGGCCGCAAGGU